This 3149-nucleotide long non-coding RNA is filed under the name Phaseolus vulgaris (common bean). Its description in RNAcentral is "long non-coding RNA (PVUL_LNC000044)". The record is from RNAcentral. Lineage: Eukaryota; Viridiplantae; Streptophyta; Magnoliopsida; Fabales; Fabaceae.
UAAAACAAAAAAUUUAAAAAUAAUUAAAAGAAAAAAAUUAUUUCUCUGUGAAACACUUUUUAUUUGUUUCUAAGAGAAGAUGUUCUUGGCUCUGAUCGCUGACGAAGGAGACCAUGAAGAGGAGGAAGUCAAUGACGACAAGGACAAAGCCAAAGAAGGAGUCAAAGGUCUUGAUGAGGAACUGGUCGUGCAACGUCAAUCCCAAGAGCUUGGUAGCGGCCUGAACCAGUGGCGAGUCAGAGGAGACAUUUGGAGGCUUCAUUGAUCAAGUAUUGAGAAAGGUAUUGACAUUCUUUCUCUUUCAUUUGUGUUUGGAUAAUGUUCGAUAGAUUUAGGGUUUUUACGACAUACUUUAAAUGAAGGGAAUUCUGAGUGCUCAAAUCUCAGGUUGUGUUUUGGGUGGCUAAGAUGGGAUAUCGCAGUAUUUCAUGGUUGGUUGUGUCUGAAAUAUUGUAUGAAGAUUUGAUGUGAUGAAAAUGACCAGUGGUGUAGCAUGCGUUUUGAAAUUGGGUUUGUUUAGGUGAAAGUUAAGGAUGAUUGAGAAUCACGAGCAAGUAGGCUUCUUUUGUGAUUGAUGUUUUGAAACAAAAAUAAAAUGGAACAAGGGAAUAAAUAUCUUUCCAUAAUUAUUAGUAGUUUCAAACCUUGUAAUCUUUUGAUUCCACUCGGUUUUAGCUUGGAAAGAAUUGUGCCUAAUUUAAAUUUUGUGGACUGGGUCCUGAACCCCCUUUUAUGCAUUAGAAGCUAUUAGUAAUUUAAUAAGGGUAGAGAAAGACGGUUAUGGUAAAGAGAAGGUGUGUUGAGUUGUGUGGGAGCAUCAAGGCAGAGGUUUUCUAUUCGGGAAGGGUAUGAACCAGAAAAAUGUUCUGUUAGAACCCCUGCAGCGGUACAAUUAGCGCUCCAAAUGACUACCUCUAUGACCAAAGGCUGAGACAUGUUCCAGCAACACUGCGAUAAUGCAAUAAGCAUUGGCCAACCUUAUGGAGGUAGGUAUUGCAACAAGUGAAGUUAAGGAGGGGGAAGGAUUAUGUGGUUUGUGGUGCAUGUAGGAAGGAGGAAGAAAAUGAGGUGUAGGAAUCUAGAAUCUCCUAUGUAGACAAUGUAGUAUUUAUAUAGCUUUGUUUAGAGCACUAGCAACAGAGUAGGCUAUGCUAAUACACUAUGAAUCAAUGCCAAGAUGUUAAGAAGGGCAAACUGCAAAAAUUAUGCAAGUGAAGGAGCUGUUCAUUGGAUUUGCUAGGUAUGAUAUGCCAGUUUCUUUGUAGUGUAUCUGCUGUAGAAUUCUCCAGCACCUACAUCUGCCAAAUUUGCCAAGGUUGUGGAGUGCUACACUAUUUGCAGCACCUCAGUUUUGCUCUGAUAGUUCGUGUCAAUGUUGGUGGGUUUUGAGUUUUUUUUUACGGUUAAAAAGCAGCUAUAGUAGGUUGCAUUUUUGUGAAGACUACACAGUUGUUUAGGCAGUCAAGACUACAAAAAAAAUGCCUAAUUUAAAUUUAAAGUAUCAUACAUUUAUAUAAUAAUACCUCAAAAAUUAUUUAUUGUUGUAUUUGUUUCAAUGCAAUAAUGUUUUGCUAUAGAUAUUAAAUUGACUGUCUCCUUAUACUAGUACUUCUUAUUAUAGUUGUCAUUGUUUUUUAUAAUAUAAGAUUGUGUUCUAAGAAUACUGAUAUUGGGGUUUCUAAAGUCCCUUUGCCUCACAAAGUUGUCAUAUUGAUUAUGGUGCAAACAAAAAGUUGAAGUUAAUAUUUUGAAUGAUGUUUACAGGUAGCUUAAGUAUGAGCAGAAAGUGGUAAAGGAUAAUCCUCAUCCAAAGUUAUCGCAAGUAUGAGCAGAAAGUGGUAAACCUCAUCCAAGGUGAUCUAUCAAUCUAUUUUUCUAAAGUAUUAUGUGAAUUUUUAUAAAAAAGUUUCAUAUAUUUCUGAUACAUUGAAAGAAAAGUAUGCUCAUAAGAUUAUGCAGAGUAUGUUCAUAAGAUUGUGCAUAUUUGAAAAAAAAUAUGAAAUUAUACUUUGUGAUUGGAAUAAUAAACUCUUUAGUACUUAUGAAAUUGGUAAAACUUCAAAAUUCAAACAUAUAAUAAGUUUACAAUUUGUAUUUUAUUUCUUCUAAAUUUGCUUAAGGAAAGCAAUGUUUAUUCCCAUUCAUGAACUUUCUCAGUAAUAUGAAGUGAAAUUAUUUAAUGGUAGUGCGUUGGUCCUUUGGAAUUGUGGAUUUUGUUUGCAUGGUUUAAAGAAAUUGGGGUGUGUGUAAUGGGCACUUUCUCUAUGUGUUGAUGAGUAUUUCUUUUAUGUUUCUGUUUUGUCAUGCUAAAAGCUUAUUAAAGGCCAUCAUUUUCAUUUGUUGGACCUAGACAUUCCUUACGUUUAGGGACCCUUUGUAUCAUUGUUUUGAGGCAUUAUUUAUUCUCUCCAACCCCAUGCCCACCCCCUAACCUUCCUCUUUCAUCUAAAUGUGAUAAUCUAUUGCUUCCCUCCCUUUCUUAAACAUAUUAGACUAGUUAUAUCAUCUUAUUAAAUCUUCUUUAACAAGUAUUUUAAGAAGUUUUUAAUUGUAAAAGUUAUAAGUUUAAGAUUUAACUUUUAUAUAUUCUUGGUAAGGUUAGAUUGUUUGCAAGUAUUUACUAUUAAUAAAAAAAACAUUUUAAUCCUCAAAAAGUCUUAGAAAAAACUUUCAUUAAAGAUGGUGUAAAUUUAUAUUAUAAGUCAAAUUAAUUAAUCACGUUACAUGUUGAUUAUGUCGAACUUGGUCUUUUAUCUGAUAGUGUUUACUUUAUAUGGAACCUUGAAGGUUAUUACUGGAGAAAGCGGGUAACAAGUCCAAGUACAACUAUCCAACCAACAACAAGCAUCGAUAUCAAGACAUUGAUUAUGUACAUUAUUAGUUUAAGUUUUUUAUUUUGGAUUAUGUUUUGAAUUAGGAUUAGAAGUUGACUUACUUUUUUAUUUAUAUUAUCUUUGACUUAUUUUAUAUGAUGAGACUACAUAAGUGGAUUUGAAAUUAAUUGUAUUUUAUUUUAUGUUAGGUAUAUUGGAAGAUGAUUAAUUGUUGUAUUGAAUAUUAUAGGUUCAAUACAAUUGGUAAUAGAUGGUUUAAUUUGGAAAAUUUUGAUAUGUUGGAUGUUUUGGAUAGUUGAAUGUUUCAUUAUGCAG